This 356-nucleotide unclassified non-coding RNA is filed under the name uncultured fungus. RNAcentral's name for it is "sequence contains ITS1". The stretch from base 1 to 102 matches the Rfam family "5.8S ribosomal RNA", at positions 50 to 154 of the family's 154-position model. The record is from RNAcentral. Lineage: Eukaryota; Fungi.
GAAAUGCGAUACGUAAUGUGAAUUGCAGACCGUGAAUCAUCUAAUCUUUGAACGCAUAUUGCGCUCUUUGGUAUUCCGAAGAGCAUGCCUGUUUGAGAAUCGAUAACAUCAAUCAUCCCUUGGAUGUAGUACUUAAUGUACUACUUCUUGGGUUGGACUUGGGUAUUUAUCUUUGCCGAUAACACCUGUAAAACAGCGUCGACCUUGGCUUUAUUGUUACUUGGAACGUGUUUACUUGACGCAAGUCAUUUGUACUUCCAAUCAACGUUUAAAUAAAGACUAGUGAGUGACUUAAACCAUCUACACUAACGUGUAAACUUGGUCUCAAAUCAGGCAAGAGUACCCGCUGAACUUAA